AGCAGAGGAAACCUGAGUCCACAAUGCAUACAGUAUAAAUGACAACUUUGCAGUGUGCUAGUGUUUUCUAUAGAAGAAUUAGGUUUAGUAGAAGUGACAGACAGAUUCCUCACAACUAAGUAUUGGUGAAUGCUCAGUUAUCUCAGUAAUGUAGAUUUUUGUGGUGCAGAAUUAUCUCGUGAGUGUAACACAAUUGUGACAGUUUUGUGAGCCUGGGGAAAAGUAUCUGAUUCACAUUUUUGAGAAAACUAAGUGAUUGAUGUGAAAUAUCCUUGAAGAAUAUUGUCAGGAAUCAGUCACUAAUUAUUUGACUGGAGAAAUCAGGAGUCUUGUUAGUGUUUAUAAACAAAGUCAAACACAACCAAACAUUUGUUGGCACCGGUUGAAAUUGAUCGCUGAAACAUCCUGCAAUC
Long non-coding RNA from Saccostrea echinata, 413 nucleotides. RefSeq lists it as uncharacterized. The record is from RefSeq and is a predicted model, not a curated record. Lineage: Eukaryota; Metazoa; Mollusca; Bivalvia; Ostreida; Ostreidae. The transcript is spliced from 3 exons.